UACGGGGGGAGCAAGCGUUGUUCGGAAUUACUGGGCGUAAAGCGAGUGUAGGCGGUUCGGUAAGUCGGAUGUGAAAGCCCCGGGCUCAACCCGGGAAGUGCACUCGAUACUGCCGAGCUAGAGUAUCGGAGAGGUUGGUGGAAUUCUCGGUGUAGAGGUGAAAUUCGUAGAUAUCGAGAGGAACACCGGUGGCGAAGGCGGCCAACUGGACGAAUACUGACGCUGAGACUCGAAAGCGUGGGGAGCAAACAGG
RNAcentral lists this ribosomal RNA (253 nucleotides) under uncultured bacterium. RNAcentral describes it as "partial 16S ribosomal RNA". It matches the Rfam family "Bacterial small subunit ribosomal RNA", at positions 524 to 776 of the family's 1533-position model. The record is from RNAcentral.